Molecule: ribosomal RNA, 618 nt
Filed under: Saccharomyces cerevisiae (brewer's yeast)
Lineage: Eukaryota; Fungi; Ascomycota; Saccharomycetes; Saccharomycetales; Saccharomycetaceae
Description: LSU rRNA
Rfam family: Eukaryotic large subunit ribosomal RNA
Source: RNAcentral
UUGCUAAUUCAUAAGCGGAGGAAAAGAAACCAACCGGGAUUGCCUUAGUAACGGCGAGUGAAGCGGCAAAAGCUCAAAUUUGAAAUCUGGUACCUUCGGUGCCCGAGUUGUAAUUUGGAGAGGGCAACUUUGGGGCCGUUCCUUGUCUAUGUUCCUUGGAACAGGACGUCAUAGAGGGUGAGAAUCCCGUGUGGCGAGGAGUGCGGUUCUUUGUAAAGUGCCUUCGAAGAGUCGAGUUGUUUGGGAAUGCAGCUCUAAGUGGGUGGUAAAUUCCAUCUAAAGCUAAAUAUUGGCGAGAGACCGAUAGCGAACAAGUACAGUGAUGGAAAGAUGAAAAGAACUUUGAAAAGAGAGUGAAAAAGUACGUGAAAUUGUUGAAAGGGAAGGGCAUUUGAUCAGACAUGGUGUUUUGUGCCCUCUGCUCCUUGUGGGUAGGGGAAUCUCGCAUUUCACUGGGCCAGCAUCAGUUUUGGUGGCAGGAUAAAUCCAUAGGAAUGUAGCUUGCCUCGGUAAGUAUUAUAGCCUGUGGGAAUACUGCCAGCUGGGACUGAGGACUGCGACGUAAGUCAAGGAUGCUGGCAUAAUGGUUAUAUGCCGCCCUGUCUUGAACCGGGACCA